RNAcentral lists this ribosomal RNA (882 nucleotides) under uncultured bacterium. Its description in RNAcentral is "bacterial SSU rRNA". It matches the Rfam family "Bacterial small subunit ribosomal RNA", at positions 574 to 1456 of the family's 1533-position model. The record is from RNAcentral.
GGCGNUCAGGAAAGUCUGGAGUAAAAGGCUAUGGCUCAACCAUAGUGUGCUCUGGAAACUNUCUGACUUGAGUGCAGAAGGGGAGAGUGGAAUUCCAUGUGUAGCGGUGAAAUGCGUAGAUAUAUGGAGGANCACCAGUGGCGAAAGCGGCUCUCUGGUCUGUCACUGACGCUGAGGCUCGAAAGCGUGGGUAGCGAACAGGAUUAGAUACCCUGGUAGUNCACGCCGUAAACGAUGAGUGCUAGGUGUUAGGCCCUUUCCGGGGCUUAGUGCCGGAGCUAACGCAAUAAGCACUCCGCCUGGGGAGUACGACCGCAAGGUUGAAACUCAAAGGAAUUGACGGGGGCCCGCACAAGCGGUGGAGCAUGUGGUUUAAUUCGAAGCAACGCGAAGAACCUUACCAGGUCUUGACAUCCCGAUGCUAUUCUUAGAGAUAGGAAGUUACUUCGGUACAUCGGAGACAGGUGGUGCAUGGUUGUCGUCAGCUCGUGUCGUGAGAUGUUGGGUUAAGUCCCGCAACGAGCGCAACCCUUAUUGUUAGUUGCCAUCAUUAAGUUGGGCACUCUAGCGAGACUGCCGGUAAUAAACCGGAGGAAGGUGGGGAUGACGUCAAAUCAUCAUGCCCCUUAUGACCUGGGCUACACACGUGCUACAAUGGUCGGUACAACGAGUUGCGAGCCGGUGACGGCAAGCUAAUCUCUGAAAGCCGAUCUCAGUUCGGAUUGGAGGCUGCAACUCGCCUCCAUGAAGUCGGAAUCGCUAGUAAUCGCGGAUCAGCACGCCGCGGUGAAUACGUUCCCGGGCCUUGUACACACCGCCCGUCACACCACGAGAGUUUGUAACACCCGAAGUCGGUGAGGUAACCUUUUAGGGGCCAGCCGC